GACGAACGCUGGCGGCGUGCCUAAUACAUGCAAGUAGAACGCACAGUUUAUACCGUAGCUUGCUACACCAUAGACUGUGAGUUGCGAACGGGUGAGUAACGCGUAGGUAACCUGCCUGGUAUCGGGUGAUAACUAUUGGAAACGAUAGCUAAUACCGCAUAAUAUUGAUUAUUGCAUGAUAAUUAAUUGAAAGGUGCAAUUGCACCACUACCAGAUGGACCUGCGUUGUAUUAGCUAGUAGGGGAGGUAACGGCUCACCUAGGCGACGAUACAUAGCCGAACUGAGAGGGUGGACGGGCAAACUGGGAAUGAGACACGGCCCAGACUCCUACGGGAGGCAGCAGUAGGGAAUCUUCGGCAAUGGACGAAAGUCUGACCGAGCAACGCCGCGUGAGUGAAGAAGGUUUUCGGAUCGUAAAGCUCUGUUGUAAGAGAAGAAAGGGUGGGAGAGUGGAAAGUUCACACUGUGACGGUAUCUUACCAGAAAGGGACGGCUAACUACGUG
This 505-nucleotide ribosomal RNA is filed under the name uncultured bacterium. RNAcentral describes it as "partial 16S ribosomal RNA". It matches the Rfam family "Bacterial small subunit ribosomal RNA", at positions 28 to 507 of the family's 1533-position model. The record is from RNAcentral.